Molecule: non-coding RNA, 1430 nt
Organism: Salvia hispanica
Lineage: Eukaryota; Viridiplantae; Streptophyta; Magnoliopsida; Lamiales; Lamiaceae
Source: RefSeq, a predicted model, not a curated record
CGGCAUCCGAUUUUGUCAAGAUCCGAAAGAGCAGAGUUUGGUGGGAUGGCACAGUCGAGUUGCAAUAAUCUCCGCAACGCCGCGAUUGCGCUUCUUGUUCCUCUCCCUUCACUUUUCUUCUAUCUCUCCUUCCUCCGCCGCACAGAAUCAUCACCCGAUUCACUCUCUCCCCUCUGGGCGUGGUGCUACCACCACCCUCUUCUCUUAGCCAACGCUCUCUUUUUUCUCAAUGUCAAUCUACUCUUUUGGCUUCUGGGUCUCCUCCAAUCCACCCACUGGAUGAUAGAUUUGUAUUGGACGGUCAUACCUGUAAUGCUGGUACACUACUUCGCAACUCACCCAAUUGCAGAAUCCAAUGCUUUGAGAUCGAGCCUCGUCAUUCUUUUGACCUGGAUUUGGUCCUUGCGCCUCACUCACAGCUACUUCCGCCGCGAAAAGUGGCAGUGGGGUGCACGAGAAGACUGGAGAUUUAACGAUUUGCGGCGUCAGUACGGCACAAACUGGUGGUGGAUCUCAUUCUUUGCUGUCUAUCUUUCGCAGCAGGUUUUCUUGAUUGGAAUAUGCUUGCCUCUCUAUGUUGUCCACACAAAGGACGUGCAGAUUAAUGCCUGGGAUGUAGCUGCUGCCCUAGUUUGCUUAACUGGCGUCACAGUUGCAUAUUUCGCAGAUACGCAGCUUCACAAUUUCGUUAGCAGAAACGAGAGGCGGAAACAGCUCGGACAGUCCUUAGUGCCGAAUCUUGAUGAGGGUAUGUGGUACUACUCACGGCAUCCAAACUAUUUUGGCGAGCAGCUGUGGUGGUGGGGAUUGGCGCUCUUUGCUUGGAACUUGGAUUGUGGGUGGAGUUUUUAUGGUGCAUUCGUUAAUAGCUUGUGCUUGGCCUACGUUACAAUUCUUGUCGAGGAGCGAAUGUUGAAGCAGGAGUACCGGGCUCAGGCAUACAAGAAGUAUCAAGAAAGUACGUCUGUUUGGAUACCUUGGUUCAAGACAUCCUCAGCAGGGAAAGAGAAGGGGAUAUGAUUGCUCCGAGAGAUGCACAAGUGAGAUGCGUUGAGAGCGACAAAAAAGCACUUCUUAGCUUCAAGAAUGGCCUCAUUGACGAGCACGGUAUCCUCUCCUCGUGGCGGGGCAACGAAUGUUGCAAAUGGUACGGUGUUAAAUGCAGCAACACCACUAGCCACGUCGUCGCCCUCCAACUUAAUAAUGUUGAUUACGACUAUGGUGUAUUGCAAGUGGUGAAGCAAGGAGUUUAGCGUUGAGUCAAGUGGACCAAGCUCCUGACCGGUGAUCCUUCUAAGUUGUUGUAAUUUGGAAAUAAUAAUUCAUCUAUUUUCGCUUGUGAAUUAGGUGAAUGUAGUUUCACUUUGUUUUCAUUGUAUUUUACCUUUAUUUGUAUAUGUUGCAUCUAUAAAUGAAUGUUUGUAUUUUUA